Long non-coding RNA from Osmerus eperlanus (European smelt), 238 nucleotides. RefSeq lists it as uncharacterized. The transcript has 3 exons. The record is from RefSeq and is a predicted model, not a curated record. Lineage: Eukaryota; Metazoa; Chordata; Actinopteri; Osmeriformes; Osmeridae.
AUUUAAAAGCCCAUGUUUCGGUGGACAUAGGAAUAGACCUACCGAACCUGUCUUCUUCAGAACCUGUACCAAUAGUACUGCAGUGAAUCCUGUGACCAUGAAGCUGCUCAUCCUGUGUAUCUGCCUGACCAGCUCCAUAUCGGCUGUCCCGCUUCCCUCUUUCUUUCACUUCAUGCCUCACUUUGGGCCCAGACAGGCUGGCCCACCCACACAGGUACGGCAACAGGUACACUUGCUG